AGUCAGUGGGCCUGGCAGAACCAAGGGCACUUCAGAGAGUCUUAUUGGAACAGCACUGUGCAGACUCUGGGCUUAGAGAGCUGAGCAAGACAGUGGAGUCCCUCUGGAGACCCAGAGACAAGAGGAAAGCAAAGACCAGCUAUGAAAGCACAUCCAAAGGCCUGAGCAUUCCCAGGGAUGAUCUGCAGAGGACCUGGACAUGGUUGAUGCAAAUCUUGGUGGACACUAUAGGAUGUGUUAGGUUCAGGCCCACAGGACAGGAUCAGAGUUCACAGCACAAAGACCCUGUUCUCUGCCAGGGUCUGAGCACUUUCAGGGAACACUUCCCAGAGUUUUCCACUCACAGAGCCUGAAAUACAGGUGGAAAUGAGCAGCUCUAUGUUAUGACAAAUCAGUCGACGAGUAUCUAUUCUCCACCUCCUUGGUGUCUGGCGCUGUGUGAGGCACAGGCAGCGUAAGGGUGAAUAAGGUACAAAGAACCCUGCUGUCACUGAGCUGUUAGCUGAGAAGGUAGAGAGGACAUGAAGCCAAUCAUUACAAGGCAUCCCAAAAGAUAAAUGAACAAGUGGCAUGGAGUUGUGGCCACGCUUGUGGAGUAUGAGCUCAGGCUAUUCCCCUUCAAAUACUGAUUCAAGACGACAGGAGAUGAUCUUGAGCAGGAUGCAGAAGUUUCUGAGCCUGAAUUUCCCUAAUUGUAAAAUGGGAGAAUUUCUAGUAGCUCCCUGAAAGCACUGAAUGAGAAGUAAAUGUAUUAAUACUUGUAAAUUGUGCCCACAGUAUGCCAGGCAGCUGAUAGAAUUCAUAUGCCUUAGUAAAGGUGAUUUUUACAAUAUUUGUUCCUGUUUUGUACGCUUUACAUUUAAGUCCCUGUUAUGAAUUGUACACUAUCCAAGCAAAAUGCAUUUUUAAAUUCUCACCAACAUGCAUACUUUCUCUGUCUAAUGAAGUAAUUUGUAAGAUAAUAGC
RNAcentral lists this long non-coding RNA (966 nucleotides) under Homo sapiens (human). RNAcentral's name for it is "HSALNT0157970". Lineage: Eukaryota; Metazoa; Chordata; Mammalia; Primates; Hominidae. The record is from RNAcentral.